AUUGAACGCUGGCGGCAGGCCUAACACAUGCAAGUCGAGCGGAUGAAGGGAGCUUGCUCCUGGAUUCAGCGGCGGACGGGUGAGUAAUGCCUAGGAAUCUGCCUGGUAGUGGGGGAUAACGUCCUGAAACGGGCGCUAAUACCGCAUACGUCCUGAGGGAGAAAGUGGGUGAUCUUCGGACCUCACGCUAUCAGAUGAGCCUAGGUCGGAUUAGCUAGUUGGUGGGGUAAAGGCCUACCGAGGCGACGAUCCGUAACUGGUCUGAGAGGAUGAUCAGUCACACUGGAACUGAGACACGGUCCAGACUCCUACGGGAGGCAGCAGUGGGGAAUAUUGGACAAUGGGCGAAAGCCUGAUCCAGCCAUGCCGCGUGUGUGAAGAAGGUCUUCGGAUUGUAAAGCACUUUAAGUUGGGAGGAAGGGCAGUAAGUUAAUACCUUGCUGUUUUGACGUUACCAACAGAAUAAGCACCGGCUAACUUCGUG
RNAcentral lists this ribosomal RNA (484 nucleotides) under uncultured bacterium. RNAcentral describes it as "partial 16S ribosomal RNA". It matches the Rfam family "Bacterial small subunit ribosomal RNA", at positions 30 to 507 of the family's 1533-position model. The record is from RNAcentral.